UAUCACUUACAGAUGGACCCGCGGCGCAUUAGCUAGCUGGUGAGGUAACGGCUCACCAAGGCAACGAUGCGUAGCCGACCUGAGAGGGUGAUCGGCCACAUUGGGACUGAGACACGGCCCAAACUCCUACGGGAGGCAGCAGUAGGGAAUCUUCCGCAAUGGACGAAAGUCUGACGGAGCAACGCCGCGUGAGUGAAGAAGGUCUUCGGAUCGUAAAACUCUGUUGUUAGGGAAGAACAAGUAUCGUUCGAAUAGGGCGGUACCUUGACGGUACCUAACCAGAAAGACACGGCUAACUACGUGCCAGCAGCCGCGGUAAUACGUAGGUGGCAAGCGUUGUCCGGAAUUAUUGGGCGUAAAGCGCGCGCAGGCGGUCUUUUACGUCUGCUGUGAAAGCCCACGGCUCACCCGUGGAGGGUCCUUGGAAACUGGAAGACUUGA
RNAcentral lists this ribosomal RNA (441 nucleotides) under uncultured Bacillus sp. Its description in RNAcentral is "bacterial SSU rRNA". It matches the Rfam family "Bacterial small subunit ribosomal RNA", at positions 213 to 645 of the family's 1533-position model. Lineage: Bacteria; Bacillati; Bacillota; Bacilli; Caryophanales; Bacillaceae. The record is from RNAcentral.